Molecule: ribosomal RNA, 294 nt
Filed under: uncultured bacterium
Lineage: Bacteria
Description: partial 16S ribosomal RNA
Rfam family: Bacterial small subunit ribosomal RNA
Source: RNAcentral
UCUAUCCUACGGGAGGCAGCAGUCGGGAAUAUUGCGCAAUGGAGGAAACUCUGACGCAGUGACGCCGCGUGCAGGAAGAAGGUUUUCGGAUUGUAAACUGCUUUAGACAGGGAAGAUACAAGACAGUACCUGUAGAAUAGGCUCCGGCUAACUACGUGCCAGCAGCCGCGGUAAUACGUAGGGAGCAAGCGUUAUCCGGAUUUAUUGGGUGUAAAGGGUGCGUAGACGGGAAUGCAAGUUGGUUGUGAAAUCCCUCGGCUUAACUGAGGAACUGCAACCAAAACUACAUUUCUU